Molecule: non-coding RNA, 75 nt
Organism: Candidatus Blackburnbacteria bacterium
Lineage: Bacteria; Candidatus Blackburniibacteriota
Source: Rfam
GUGGCUGUAGCUUAGACAGGUCAAAGUGCCAGUUUGUGGAACUGGAGAUCGCGGGUUCGAAUCCCGUCAGCCACC